Molecule: ribosomal RNA, 252 nt
Filed under: uncultured bacterium
Lineage: Bacteria
Description: partial 16S ribosomal RNA
Rfam family: Bacterial small subunit ribosomal RNA
Source: RNAcentral
UACAGAGGGUGCGAGCGUUAAUCGGAAUUACUGGCGUAAAGCGUGCGUAGACGGUAGCGUAAGUCAGAUGUGAAAGCCCCGGGCUCAACCUGGGAACUGCAUUUGAGACUGCUCUGCUCGGGUGCGGAAGAGGGAAGCGGAAUUUCCGGUGUAGCGGUGAAAUGCGUAGAUAUCGGAAGGAACACCAGUGGCGAAAGCGGCUUCCUGGUCCGACACCGACGUUCAGGCACGAAAGCGUGGGGAGCAAACAGG